GGCCAACUCUCUCCAUAUGGGUGA
This 24-nucleotide non-coding RNA is filed under the name Arabidopsis thaliana (thale cress). Lineage: Eukaryota; Viridiplantae; Streptophyta; Magnoliopsida; Brassicales; Brassicaceae. The record is from RNAcentral.